GGAUAACAUACCGAAAGGUAUGCUAAUACGGGAUAAUAUAUUUGAGAGGCAUCUCUUGAAUAUCAAAGGUGAGCCAGUACAGGAUGGACCCGCGUCUGAUUAGCUAGUUGGUAAGGUAAAGGCUUACCAAGGCGACGAUCAGUAGCCGACCUGAGAGGGUGAUCGGCCACAUUGGAACUGAGACACGGUCCAAACUCCUACGGGAGGCAGCAGUGGGGAAUAUUGCACAAUGGGCGAAAGCCUGAUGCAGCAACGCCGCGUGAGUGAUGAAGGCCUUCGGGUCGUAAAACUCUGUCCUCAAGGAAGAUAAUGACGGUACUUGAGGAGGAAGCCCCGGCUAACUACGUGCCAGCAGCCGCGGUAAUACGUAGGGGGCUAGCGUUAUCCGGAUUUACUGGGCGUAAAGGGUGCGUAGGCGGUCUUUCAAGUCAGGAGUGAAAGGCUACGGCUCAACCGUAGUAAGCUCUUGAAACUGGGAGACUUGAGUGCAGGAGAGGAGAGUGGAAUUCCUAGUGUAGCGGUGAAAUGCGUAGAUAUUAGGAGGAACACCAGUUGCGAAGGCGGCUCUCUGGACUGUAACUGACGCUGAGGCACGAAAGCGUGGGGAGCAAACAGGAUUAGAUACCCUGGUAGUCCACGCUGUAAACGAUGAGUAGUAGGUGUCGGGGGUUACCCCCUUCGGUGCCGCAG
This 690-nucleotide ribosomal RNA is filed under the name uncultured bacterium. Its description in RNAcentral is "bacterial SSU rRNA". It matches the Rfam family "Bacterial small subunit ribosomal RNA", at positions 141 to 851 of the family's 1533-position model. The record is from RNAcentral.